AGAAAUAUGUUAAACAAAAUUAAGCUUCUAACUUAAAUUUUAAGCAGUGAGAUACUGUUUAUAUUUCUA
Molecule: transfer RNA, 69 nt
Filed under: Idgia oculata
Lineage: Eukaryota; Metazoa; Arthropoda; Insecta; Coleoptera; Prionoceridae
Description: tRNA-Ser
Source: RNAcentral